This is a long non-coding RNA of Triticum dicoccoides, 3421 nucleotides long. RefSeq lists it as uncharacterized. The transcript has 5 exons. The record is from RefSeq and is a predicted model, not a curated record. Lineage: Eukaryota; Viridiplantae; Streptophyta; Magnoliopsida; Poales; Poaceae.
AAAGAUGCUGAUGCGUGGGGGGAGAGAGUGGGAGGAGUGCGCGUACACGGGAGGCGGGAGGCGGGGCCAGGGAGGAGGAAGACAGCCGCGACGGCGACCAGUGCCGCGCCGCCGGCGGCGAGGAGAGCUCCGGGUUCACCGGAUCGAGCGUCGCCGAGGAGGGGGACACUCCACGGCGGCGGUGCUUGGGGCUCCGACGAGCGGAGGCGAGCGGCGACAGGAGGCGACAGGAGAAGCUCCGCGGCGACCUGAAGGCCAUCAGCCAUGGCCGUUGUGGUUUCGCGUGCGCCCGCGCGCGGCUGCACGCUGGGGGAGGCGGAGCUUGACGCAGCGCGCGAACCUAGCCUUGGUGCGAGUGCGACGGCGACGCGGCUGCUGUCCUCCCGUCUAACCCGCAGCACGUCGAGCCUCACCGGAGUUCCUCCAUGACGCCGUAAGCAGCUGCCACUGCCCUCCAUGGAGCCCCGACGCCUCCGCCAUGAACCCAUCCAUCCCUCCUGUGCGCGCUUCCCUGCAACUCCAGACGCCCGCCCGCAGCUCUCUGCAUCGAGCAGCAGCAGUUCGGGCAGAGGACGACGCCUCUGCCUCGACCGCUCGCCCCCUCUGCUUCGCGCUGGACUGCCAAGCCCCUCCCGUCCUCAUCCCCGUGCAGCUGCACGCUCUCGCCUGCCCCCACGGUGAGCUCCGCCUCCUGCGUGUGGUCGCCGCCUCCCUCAACCUCCACCACCUGCUGCAAGUUGGUGCCCAGGGCGUCGCAAGCUGCCAGCGGCGGCAGAGUUGCUGCUCCCGUGUCGUGAUUGGACUCCGUGUUCUUCUCCAACAGCAAAUACGUGUUCUUCUCCAACACCAAUCAAUGGAUUUCCCGAGCCGGAUUUGAGUUGCCUACUAUAAGAAGGAAGGGUCCUCGGACCAGAAGCUCCAUCACAUCAAAUCAAAUCCCGUCGAAAUUGCAAUCUUCGUCGAAACAUCCAUGUCGCCGCCGAGUUCGCCGGAGGAAGAAGCGCAGAGUUCGCCGGAGGAACAAGCGUUGGACGUGUGUGGCGGCGUGCUCGGAGAGCGGGGAGGGGCGCUGUGGUGGUGGAGAUGGCCGACGCCGUAGACAAGCGCUGGGAGCUUCUGAAGCCAUGGCCGAGCGAAGGGGAGAGCCGCCAUGCUAGACGAGAACAACAACCGUGGUAGAUGAUGUUCAGGGAGAUAUUACAAACUGCUAGAUGUUGCUACUGUAUUGACUAUAAGCUGCUGGAUUUCUUGCUCCCAAGUAUACUUGCUUAUCUGUGCUAUAAUGGAAAAUAGCCUAACCGUUGGACCUUCAGUUUAUUAUAUUUUCUUCUUUGUUCUUGGUAGACAUGCGCAAGUCAAUGGCUGAUCACUUCUUUAUAUGCGAUCCUGAGCUGAUGCGAAGGUCCUAUGUUUUCUUGAUUGGCAGGCAGGUGAGCAAGAGGAGGACCAUAGGUCAGGGAGUGUUUGGUUUCAGGGAGAUCGUUGGGGAGGAGUUCAUGACCAUGUUCCUGUCAGUUUUUAGCCGUAUGGUUCAGAAUCGCCAUAAUUGGAGUGGCAUUUAUCAAAUUAACCCUAAUUACUUUGUCAAACACACAUAUUCUUUCUUGAUACGCAUUUUCAUUUUUGGUUAUCUGUGAGAAUGUUUAGUAUACAGAGAAGUUGUUCCAUGGAUCAGCUAAACAAAAAAUAACUUUUCAUUUGUGAUAGUUUGCGAUAUGCAGAGAUAGGUCUAUCAAAGUUUGUAAUGGCUCAUGGCCAAACAUAUGAAACUGUUCUUGAUACUAUUUUAUCCUUUUCUUAAUAUCAUCAUCAUCAUAUAUAUAUGUGUGUGUGUAUAUAUAUAUAUACACACACACACACACACAAAUUAGAAACUUUCUAACAUCUGCAUAUUUCAGGUUUAGGAGGAUGUAGAGAGAACGAUGUUCAAACAAUUAAGUGCAGCAUCAACAGACGUGUUCCUAAAUUUUGAUGACUAUUAGAAAGAGAGAGGAUAUGGUGACCGAAAGUCGUGCCGUGUACGUGUCGGGCAGUGGUAGAUUAAAGAUAUUUUGUAAUUGGACUUGGCAAGGGAUAGAGACUAGCAUGAAUUUUUUUUUGAGCAGCGAAAUGGCGCAACCCUUCGUGAUUUUUGAAGUUUGAACAGAGUUAUGAACCAUUCGCCGCCUAAUCCCUAGAUUCUUGGAGUAUCAAGAUGGUGUGGCCAUCAGGGUUCCCAUCACCAUGCAUGCCAUGCUUGAGCUCCUCAAGAACGCCACCAAGCUGGCGUGUAAUGGAUGAUGGCUGAUGCAACGGUGGAGGAGGCGUAUUGAUGUCAGUUUGAAGCAAAUCAGGAGAACGCCACCAUCGGUGAGGUUGCCAGGUGAAGGAAGCAGCGGACUGGUGGCAAGGCUUUUCUACUCACCACCGUUUGAGUUCAUCAUCUGUCCCACUCAGUCGUAUCCAUGUUUGCAUAUUCUCCAGCCCAUUCAAUAAUCCACGUACCAACUUAUCUUAGAAACAAAGAAGCACCAAGCUGGACUGCUGGCCGAGGAGAUGCAUAUGUGGGCACUUUCUGCUGGCCAAGUUCAGAAGCAAAUUAACUGCUUGUAUUUGCAUAAGCAACAGAGAGAAAAUGUUAGAGAACUUAGCAAAAAAAUGAAAGGAGAAAGAAAUGUCUAAGAAACCGAAGGUAUUGCUGCAGCUGAUAGGUCGCCUACUCCUUUGGAUACCAUUCAUAUCGUACUUAACUCAGUGAGCAAAUUGAGGACUACGGUUAUCUUCCAUGUCUAUGUGAAAUAAAUGCGAUAGUUUCAUAACACCAAAUGGUCCAAAGUGCAUCCAAUACAUGGUCAAGAGCACCACUGACGUUCACGAAACCAAUAAUAUUACAGGUCAGUGUAGAUAUGAGUUUUCUAAUUUUGUCAAAUGCAGCUAUGUUAUACUAACAACCCGUGUUUGCAUGUCCUAAUUUAUGUCUGCAAAAGCUGUAUCUUUUGUUGAGCUAUAUUAUAAUAUUAUGUGUAUGUACGCGCAUGUUGCACAGAGAUGCUAUUUGGCAUGCAUGAAUUCUAAUUUUAAUUUAAAUUAGGCAUGCUUAAUCUCACACACCACAAAAUUUCCUUACUGUGUACUACAUCUUUUAUCUCCAAUUUGGAUAAUCUAAGCGAUAACUCUUUAGUCUGAUUUAAUUAUCUUCAAAAGUUUGCUAGAGGCUAUAGAUGAGGAGUCUUCUCGGUCCUGGUGUCUUCUCGGUCCUGGUGUGGCGACCUAGGAAGGACAAACAGGGUUGGUCGGCACCAAAGAUGAAAACAUUGUCGAGCCUUACUUUUUGCAAGUUGCCUCACUUCUACUACUUUUAGAGGAAAGAUAGCAAUUUCAGUCAUGUUGCACGAACACUUGUAGAUCGCGGUGCAUCAAGAUCAUAAUUGCUACACUCAAA